RNAcentral lists this ribosomal RNA (405 nucleotides) under uncultured bacterium. RNAcentral's name for it is "partial 16S ribosomal RNA". It matches the Rfam family "Bacterial small subunit ribosomal RNA", at positions 30 to 526 of the family's 1533-position model. The record is from RNAcentral.
AUUGAACGCUAGCGGGAUGCUUGACACAUGCAAGUCGAACGAGUGGCGGACGGGUGAGUAAUAUAUCGGAACGUGCCCAGUAGAGGGGGAUAACUACUCGAAAGAGUGGCUAAUACCGCAUAAUAUUGGAGCAGCCGAUAUCGGAUUAGCUAGUUGGUGGGGUAAAGGCUCACCAAGGCAACGAUCCGUAGCUGGUUUGAGAGGAUGACCAGCCACACUGGGACUGAUACACGGCCCAGACUCCUACGGGAGGCAGCAGUGGGGAAUUUUGCACAAUGGGGGAAACCCUGAUCCAGCCAUCCCGCGUGUAUGAGAAGGCCUUCGGGUUGUAAAGUACUUUUAGCAGCGAUGCGGUAUCUGCAGAAUAAGCACCGGCUAACUACGUGCCAGCAGCCGCGGUAAUAC